RNAcentral lists this ribosomal RNA (400 nucleotides) under uncultured bacterium. RNAcentral's name for it is "bacterial SSU rRNA". It matches the Rfam family "Bacterial small subunit ribosomal RNA", at positions 356 to 773 of the family's 1533-position model. The record is from RNAcentral.
GGGGAAUAUUGCACAAUGGGCGAAAGCCUGAUGCAGCGACGCCGCGUGAGUGAAGAAGUAUUUCGGUAUGUAAAGCUCUAUCAGCAGGGAAGAUAAUGACGGUACCUGACUAAGAAGCACCGGCUAAAUACGUGCCAGCAGCCGCGGUAAUACGUAUGGUGCAAGCGUUAUCCGGAUUUACUGGGUGUAAAGGGAGCGUAGGCGGCAGAGUAAGUCUGAUGUGAAAGCCCGGGGCUCAACCCCGGGAUUGCAUUGGAAACUGCUCAGCUAGAGUAUCGGAGGGGUAAGUGGAAUUCCUAGUGUAGCGGUGAAAUGCGUAGAUAUUAGGAGGAACACCAGUGGCGAAGGCGACUUACUGGACGAUAACUGACACUGAGGCUCGAAAGCGUGGGGAGCAAAC